GACGAACGCUGGCGGCGUGCUUAACACAUGCAAGUCGAACGGAAAGGCCCUGCUUUUGUGGGGUGCUCGAGUGGCGAACGGGUGAGUAACACGUGAGUAACCUGCCCUUGACUUUGGGAUAACUUCAGGAAACUGGGGCUAAUACCGGAUAGGAGCUCCUGCUGCAUGGUGGGGGUUGGAAAGUUUCGGCGGUUGGGGAUGGACUCGCGGCUUAUCAGCUUGUUGGUGGGGUAGUGGCUUACCAAGGCUUUGACGGGUAGCCGGCCUGAGAGGGUGACCGGCCACAUUGGGACUGAGAUACGGCCCAGACUCCUACGGGAGGCAGCAGUGGGGAAUAUUGCACAAUGGGCGGAAGCCUGAUGCAGCAACGCCGCGUGCGGGAUGACGGCCUUCGGGUUGUAAACCGCUUUCGCCUGUGACGAAGCGUGAGUGACGGUAAUGGGUAAAGAAGCACCGGCUAACUACGUGCCAGCAGCCGCGGUGAUACGUAGGGUGCGAGCGUUGUCCGGAUUUAUUGGGCGUAAAGGGCUCGUAGGUGGUUGAUCGCGUCGGAAGUGUAAUCUUGGGGCUUAACCCUGAGCGUGCUUUCGAUACGGGUUGACUUGAGGAAGGUAGGGGAGAAUGGAAUUCCUGGUGGAGCGGUGGAAUGCGCAGAUAUCAGGAGGAACACCAGUGGCGAAGGCGGUUCUCUGGGCCUUUCCUGACGCUGAGGAGCGAAAGCGUGGGGAGCGAACAGGCUUAGAUACCCUGGUAGUCCACGCUGUAAACGGUGGGUACUAGGUGUGGGGUCCAUUCCACGGGUUCCGUGCCGUAGCUAACGCUUUAAGUACCCCGCCUGGGGAGUACGGCCGCAAGGCUAAAACUCAAAGGAAUUGACGGGGCCCCGCACAAGCGGCGGAGCAUGCGGAUUAAUUCGAUGCAACGCGUAGAACCUUACCUGGGUUUGACAUGGAUCGGGAGUGCUCAGAGAUGGGUGUGCCUCUUUUGGGGUCGGUUCACAGGUGGUGCAUGGCUGUCGUCAGCUCGUGUCGUGAGAUGUUGGGUUAAGUCCCGCAACGAGCGCAACCCUUGUUCACUGUUGCCAGCACGUUAUGGUGGGGACUCAGUGGAGACCGCCGGGGUCAACUCGGAGGAAGGUGGGGAUGACGUCAAGUCAUCAUGCCCCUUAUGUCCAGGGCUUCACGCAUGCUACAAUGGCUGGUACAGAGAGUGGCGAGCCUGUGAGGGUGAGCGAAUCUCGGAAAGCCGGUCUCAGUUCGGAUUGGGGUCUGCAACUCGACCUCAUGAAGUCGGAGCCGCUAGUAAUCGCAGAUCAGCAACGCUGCGGUGAAUACGUUCCCGGGGCU
Molecule: ribosomal RNA, 1346 nt
Filed under: uncultured bacterium
Lineage: Bacteria
Description: partial 16S ribosomal RNA
Rfam family: Bacterial small subunit ribosomal RNA
Source: RNAcentral